UGGCUCUCGCAUCGCUGAAGAACGCAGCGAAAUGCGAUAAGUAAUGUGAAUUGCAGAAUUCAGUGAAUCAUCGAAUCUUUGAACGCACCUUGCGCUCCUUGGUAUUCCGAGGAGCAUGCCUGUUUGAGUGUCAUGGUAUUCUCAAAUUGCCUGUGUUUCUUUUUUUUAUUUUUAAAAAAGAAUACAAGUAGUUUUGGACUUGGAGGUGAAUUGUUGGCUUUUGUCAGCUCCUCUGAAAUGCAUUAGCUUGAAAUUGUACCAAGCAUGGUUCAGCGUGAUAAACACUGCGCUGCUUUGUAUUGGUUUUUAUUUUUAUGUUUCAAGCUUAGAACUGUUCCUGGCAAAGGAACUCACUUUGGACAUCUGACCUCAAAUCAGGUAGGACUACCCGCUGA
This 395-nucleotide unclassified non-coding RNA is filed under the name uncultured fungus. RNAcentral describes it as "partial contains 5.8S ribosomal RNA and internal transcribed spacer 2". The stretch from base 1 to 133 matches the Rfam family "5.8S ribosomal RNA", at positions 22 to 154 of the family's 154-position model. The record is from RNAcentral. Lineage: Eukaryota; Fungi.